Callithrix jacchus (white-tufted-ear marmoset) is the source of this 8799-nucleotide RNA transcript. It is a transcript of the gene named zinc finger with KRAB and SCAN domains 3, with no coding region annotated. NCBI's taxonomy places the organism in Eukaryota, Metazoa, Chordata, Mammalia, Primates, Cebidae. The record is from RefSeq and is a predicted model, not a curated record.
AAUGUGAUUGUGAAUAUGAAUUUUAAAAAGUUCAGCAACCUUGCUAAACUCUUUUAUUAAUUAACAUAAUUUGCGUGUUAGAUUGUCUUUGAUUUUCUAUGUAAACCUGGCAGCGUGCUCCUUAAAAAUAUUUAGAAUUAAUAUUUUAAUUAGGUAAUGCAAUCAACUCCAAAACUAAAAGCACAUUUCAAACAUCCACCAUAACGCUUUCCUUCUCACUCUUGUCCUUCUCAGUUUCUUACCGUUAACCUCACACAGCUGACGACCGUUAUUAAUUUUCCAAUUUAUUUUUCCUUGGCUUUUUUGUGCCACGCACGCAAACACAAUUUAGAUUCUUUUUACCCUCUUCUAUUCGCAAAUAUAGCAAACUACAGAAUGAGUUCUGCACUUUGCCUUUCUCCCUUUGGUAUAGCUGGUAAAAUAAAAAUUUUAAAGUCUCUUUAAUAGCAAAAGGGGAGGGGACACGAGGUGCGGAGGUCGCAAACGACAGAGUCGGCCAGGGACCUGGCUAGAGAGGCCCGGAAGUGGCUUCUGUGCCCCGCCCUGCGGGUGGUUCGCUAGUUUCGGGCACUUUGUGAGUAUGGGGUGAGUAGGGGACGCCGACUGGGCGUCCGCUUUCCAGCGUGGGGUUAAGCCUCCUUCUGGGGCUCUCCUGCUGUGGGUCCUGCCAUUCUUUUGUCCCCGGGUACAGGGAUCUGCAGAAAUAGCUCUGGAAGCUGGAGUGAGGCCUGAGGACUGCCUUGGCCCGGGAUGGCUAGAGAAUUUCGUGAAAGCGCAGCCCUGGGUGCCCAGUCUACGGAAGACCAGACGGAGCUUCUGGUCAUAAAGGUGGAGGAAGAAGAGGCCGGUUUUCCUAGUAGCCUGGAUCUGGGCCCCGAGCGCUCCCGCCAGCACUUCCGAGGCUUCCGCUUCCCGGAGGCUGCGGGCCCCCGCGAGGCGCUGAGCCGGCUCCGAGAGCUCUGCAGACAGUGGCUGCAGCCUGAGAUGCACAGCAAGGAGCAGAUCCUGGAGCUGCUGGUGCUGGAGCAGUUCCUGACCAUCCUGCCGGGGAACGUGCAGAGCUGGGUGCGGGAGCAGCAUCCAGAGAGCGGGGAGGAGGUGGUGCUGCUGCUGGAGUAUUUGGAGAGGCAGCUGGAGGAGCCGGCGCCGCAGGUUCCAGGUGUUGACCAGGGACAAGAGCUUCCCUGUUGCAAGAUGGCACUGUUGCCACCAACCCCAGAGUCACAAGGUAGCCAAGCUCAGCUAAUGAAGGCUCUGCUCAAGCAUGAAUCUCUGGGAUCCCAACCCUUGCAAGACGGAGUUCCCCAGGUCCCUGUGUUUGCCCACGGAGGGUACUGCAGAGGAGAUGCAGUGACAGCUUCUAGGGUUCCUCCAGAGUCCCAGGGGUUGCUGAAAGUGGAAGAUGUGGCCCUGAGCCUCGCCCCUGAAUGGACACAGCUGGAUUCAUCUCAGGUGAAUCUCUAUAGAGAUGAAAAGCAGGAGAACCAUGGCAGCCUGGCCUCCCUGGGUGGUGAAAUACAGACUCAGAGCAGGGACUUGCCUCCAGCCGAGGAGCUUCCAGAAAAGGAGCAUGGGAAGAUAUCGUGCCACCUGAGUGAAGACAUUGUCCAGAUUCCUACAUGUGCAGAAGCUGCUGAACAGGAGGGCAGGUUACAAAGAAAGCAGAAAAAUGUCGUGGGGAGUAGGCGACAUUAUUGCCAUGAAUGUGGAAAGAGUUUUGCUCAAAGUUCAGGCCUGAGUAAACACAGGAGAAUCCAUACUGGUGAGAAACCCUACGAAUGCGAGGAGUGUGGCAAAGCCUUCAUUGGGAGCUCUGCCCUCGUCAUUCAUCAGAGAGUCCACACUGGUGAGAAGCCAUAUGAGUGUGAAGAAUGUGGCAAGGCUUUUAGUCACAGCUCAGACCUUAUCAAACACCAGAGAACCCACACUGGGGAGAAGCCCUACGAGUGUGAUGACUGUGGAAAGACCUUCAGCCAGAGCUGCAGCCUCCUUGAACAUCACAGAAUCCACACUGGGGAGAAGCCUUAUCAGUGCAAUAUGUGCGGCAAAGCCUUUAGGCGAAGUUCACAUCUCCUGAGACAUCAGAGGAUUCAUACUGGGGAUAAAAAUGUUCAGGAGCCUGAGCAGGGAGACGCCUGGAAAAGUAGGAUGGAAAGCCAGUUGGAAAAUGUUGAAACUCCCAUGUCUUACAAAUGUAGUGAGUGUGAAAGAAGUUUCACUCAGAAUUCAGGCCUCAUUGAACAUCAAAAAAUCCACACUGGUGAGAAACCCUAUCAGUGUAACGCAUGUGGAAAAGGCUUCAGUCGAAUCUCAUACCUUGUUCAACAUCAGAGAAGCCACGCGGGGAGAAACAUCCUAUCACAGUGACCACGCCGUACAUGCGAGUCGGUGCUCAGUUGUGACCGAUCUGAAGCCACUCACCCUGGAGUCUUGAUUACAGAAAUUGUGGACUGGGCUUCGUUUACCACUACACAUUAUCAGGUGUUAGAAAAUAUAGGCUGGGUUAGAUGAAGUAUCUUCUAAAUUCUAGAAGGUGUUUGGAAUCAAUGGAAUCAAAACACCCUUGAUAGGAGACUAUGGGAAAGUUGUCUAGAAGAGGAAUUGGUUCAUAUGAUUAUCAAGGCUGAGAAGUCCCAGGUUCUCCGAUCUGCAAACUAGAGAUGUAGGAGAGCCAACGGAGUGAGCAGUCAAAAGCCAGCAGAUUCAAGACCCAGAAGAGUCAGUGUUCUAGUUUGAGUCUGAAGGCCAGACAAGACUGAUGUCCCAGCUCCAGAUGGUCAAGAGGCGUACCCCUUGAGGUAGCAUCAUCUUUUUUGUUUUCUUCCUAACUUCAACUAAUCAGAUGAGGGCCACCCUCAUUAGGGAAGGGAAUCUGCUUCACCUGGUCUACUGAGGUAAUGGUUGAUCACAUCCAAAAUCAAACACUCAGAAUAACGUUUGACCAAAUAUCUGGGGACUCUGUGGCCCAGUCAAGUUGACACAUAAAAUUGGCCAUUACAAUACUAUAGUUUCAACAUUAAAACUACAGUAGAGUAUUACAAUUUCAGUAAAGCAUUAAAACCUUUAACCUGUGCUGCCCCCUUUUGUAAGUUCUUCCAAAUGGCAAUAGGAGCCUGGGAAAUGAUGUUUGUAGCCUCCCUACUGAGCUUACAGAUCAGGAUAGAACGGCUGGUAUGAGGCAGGCUGAGGGACAAGAGAUAAACUGUAUCACCAUUGUAUCCUUAGCAUCUAGCAGAUUUACUGAUGAAUAAUUCUGAAAAUUGGCUGGUUCUACUUGUUCUUUUGUAUUAUUAACAUAACGUAAAAUCUCCUGACAGUGAUUGCUGGAGACCAAAGUAUUCACAUUAUUAUGUCAGGUCAAAUGCUAAAGAAUCAAAGAUGAACAAGACAUUAUUUCUGCCCUCGAAGAACAAAAACCCUAAACAGACUUCGUUCUUCUAAGGCAUUUUAUGCAUUUCUGUUCUCACUUUAGUGAGACUUAACAGACUUAAUAGCUCUUCCUUUAGGAGAAUGACUGCACCAUGGCUGCCUGGCAACUUGCAUAUCUUCAUAUGAGCCACACAGACGAGGAUUUAACACUAGCUGAUCUAAGCACCGUAACUCACCUAGAACAUGAGUGCACGGUAGGUUUUGUGAGGAGCUGAUAGAAGGCCGUUUCCCACAUACCUCCCUACCUACCAUGAGGCUGUCACGAGACAAUUUCCUCUAACGAGGAAUGAGGCUUUGUACCUCCCUCCAUUUAAAGUAUAACUGCUAGUUAAGCUUUUCAAGAGUUAACAAGAAACAGGAAAGUAAGUUAGAGAUAUUAAAUAAUUUCUAGUUUAUAAAUAUAAAAGAAAGAAUGAUCUGAAUGGGAGUAUGGGUGGAGACAACUUGUCAUCCUUUCAGGAGGAAUCUACAAAAAUUCUGGGUGGUCCAGGUACUUCCCUUCAAGGAGAUCCAGGAGGGCCUUCUCUGCCACAAUUUUUUAUCAUUGGAUUAACUGUAAAACACCCAAGAUUAAAGUAUUAAGUAAUAAUGGCUUAAUUAGCUAAUCUUUUUACUAAUUCAUUCAUUACACCUUAGCAACAGAAGGCUGAAUAUAGGUUGCUUGGAGAGCAGGGAAGAGUCCAGGUAAGGGUGGGAGAAAUUAUCAAGGGACACGAGGAAACUUUUUUGGGUGACAUAUUGAUGGCAGUGAUUGUUUCACAGGUGUAAACAUGUUAGAACUUAACAAGCUGUACACGUAUGCAGUUCAUUACAUAUCAAUCUCCUUCAGUAAAGCUGUUUAAAAAGUCAUAACGAAGCCAGAUAUGGUGGCUCGUGCCUGUAAUUGCAGCACUUUGGAAGGCUGAGGCAGGAGGAUCGCUUGAGGAUAAGAGUUUAGGACCAGCCUGAACAACAAAGAGACCCUGUCUCUACAAAAGACAAAUAGACGAACAAAUUACCUCCGUGUGGUGCUGCAUGCCUGUAGUCCCAGCUAGUUGGGAGACCAGAGUUCAAGGCUGCAGUGUGCUAUGACUGCACCAUUGGACUCCAGUCUAGAGCAACACCCUGUCUCUAAAAAAAUAAAAUAAAUAAAAUUUGUUUUAAAAGUCAUGAGGUUACAUUGCAUAUUCUAGGCAAAUACAUUUGAAAGUCUUGAUGAAAUGGGUAAUUUCCAAGGCAAAGAUUACCAAAGUGGAACCCAUUAUAAAUAGCCUGAAAAGAUCAUUUUCAUAGAAUAGAGGAAAUUACCAGAAAUUAUCCCACAAAAAAGCAUACGACUCAAGGGUUUCACAUCAGAAACUAUCCUUCUAAGACUAGCUAGAUCUGAUGCUUAAUAAAUUGUUCUAAAGCAUUAAAAAUGAACACAGACUUAAAUUAUAUUUAUGAUGCAAGUUAAGAGUGAAAAUCUAAACCUGAAAAAUAUGGUAUAAAAAUUAUGGACCAAUUUCACAUGAAUAGUGAAGAAAAUGUACUAACUAAAAUAUUAACAAGUAAACCCAUUAACACAUUAAGAAAAUAACAUGCCGUGGCUGAGGUUUGUUCUAGGAAUGCAAGGUUGGCUCAAUAUUAGGAAAUCAUUUUAUAUAAUAGUAAUAAAGAAAAAAAUUGUGUGAUUUGCAGAUACUGGAAAAGCCUUUUACUGAAUGCUGUCCAUCUUUUAAAAUAAUGAAUGUAUUAAUAAUACCUAUGCAAAAAAUUUAGGUAUGUGCAGUACAGAGAAACCUAGAAUUCUGAGAUAAUCACUAAAAAGUUUUGAAAUACAUGGUUCCUGAAUUUAGUGCCCUACUAUAAAAUAUAUAAGCUGCAUUCUCUCAUCAUGGGUAGAGAUUGGGCUACAUUCAACUUAUUCACAGCCUCUAAAGAUUCUUUCAUAUUUUUGCCUAUAGGUUUUAGAACAGAAAAUAAUAAGCAAGUUACUUAAUGUAUUAGCCUUCACAAUGUGUAUUAUGUGUUAUCUAUAUGAAAAAAGUAUCAGUCAUUAUCUGUCAAUAGACUAUAUGUGAAGUAUAUUUUUCUAUCUUAAAAAAAUAGCUGAGUGCGGUGGCUCACGCUUGUAAUUCCAGCACUCUGGGAUGAAACCCUGUUUCUACUAAAAAUACAAAAAUUAGUAGGGCGUGGUGGUGGGCACCUGUAAUCCCAGCUACUCAGGAGGCUGAGGCAGGAGAAUUGCUUGAACUCAGGAGGCAAAGGUUGCAGUGAGCUGAGAUAGUGCCAUUGCACUCCAACCUGGGCAACAAGAGCAAGACUCCAUCUCAAAAUACAUGAAAUAAACAAGCCAAACCUGGAAAAAUAUACUCUCUGACGGGAUACCUACAUGGUCUUGUAUUGGAGAAUAUAAAGGCAGUCUCAAAUUUACAGAAAUACCCAGCAAUUCAAUAAUCGAGUUCUUUUCACUACACUUAUUGAAACAUUAUAUAUGUGAUUUUUGUGUCCCAGGGUACAAACACAAGCCUGCUCAGCCCAUAAAGAAAAUAUAUAUGUUUACAGUAAACAGUAGACAAUCAUACUACUGGGUGCACUUGCUGAAUGAAUUAAAUAUAUGAUACUAGAGCAGGCAUGAAGAAAAAGACCUGUCCUCCAAAGCAGAGAUAAUCAUCCGGGAGGCAGAUCACAAAUCCAGAGAGGCAAGUUAUUUCAUUUCAAAAGUCCUGGUUGCGUCUACUUACAGAACCCUCUGGAAAAGAAAAAUAACUUCUAAUAUUUCCUUUUCUUGACCUAAGACACUCAAUGUUUUUACUGGCUAAAAUUAGCAUUUUAGAAUACUCAUUUCCCAUACACCUUGCCUACUUAUAUUAAUUAUAUUAACUUUUCAAAACUGGAAACUCCCUUGUUGAGGUAUGAUUUUUGUCCAUAUAACUUCCCACAGUCCUCUCAUUUAUAAGAGUCUCUCUAAUAUGAAUUCACUGAUUUUUCCCAAGGUCCAACCUCUGAAGGCUUCUCCAUACUCGAACACUGGCAGGGUUUCCCUUUAGUGAGAACUCUCCAAUGCUGAAGAAAGCUGGUACACAAUGGAAAGCAUUUCCACAUUCGUCACGUUUAUUGUGCAGAUUCUCUGGUGCACAGUCAGUCCUUGCCUCUGGGUGAAGGUCUUCCUCCAUUUGUCAAACAAGGUUGUAUAAGGUUUCCUUGCUGGACAAAGGCCUCCUCAGUUAUCACAUUUAUGCAAUCUCUUACAUGGAUUCUUUGUUGUCAAAUAAGGCCAUGUGGCUGAAAACUUUCCCACAUUCCUUAUAAGGAUAGCAUUUUUCCUUGUAGUGGUUCUUCUGGGGGAAAAAGAGGGAUCCACUAUAAACAAAAGCCUUUCAAAACUUGUUGAUUGCAGAGAUUCUCUGAAUUGUGGACUCCAUGAUGCUGAGUCACAAUUCCCCAGAAACUACAGCUUUUCCCAUACUUACUGCAUGGAUGUUGCAGUUCAUCAGACAUUCCCCACCCCACAAAACUCAGCAUCUCCAGAAUGUUUUUGUUUUGGAGCCAAGUCCUUAGUUUCCUUUCUCAGUAACACCAUCUAAAACAAAAUGCACAGACAAUUCAAAUGUCAGUUGCCUCUUCCGAAAUGAGAUUUAUGAUAGAGCACAGUGAAUAAAAAUAAAACCCACUUUUAUUUAAAGUGCAUGUCUUUUCUAAGACUCUAAACAAGCAUCUCAUUUUUGUGACAUGUCCAAGAAGGCACGUGGCAGAGUAGGAAUAGGGGGGUCCAAUUUGGGUGAGAAGAGACAGCUAGGCAGAAAGAGACUGGAGGUGUAGGAAAACUUUUCACAAAAUGUGGCAACAAAAGAAAUCAGGAAAGUAUAAUCAAAAAAGUUAAGAUCAGUUUGAAUCCAAAGCUGAGAAACAAGGAGUAUCAUGAAACGAAGAGAAAGGUUAAUUUGCUAAGGACAGUUAAAAGGACUGUUUCUACUUACUGAUAUGUACUGGCUACUACUAUAGACCUACAAAAUGUUCAGUAGAUAUUUGUUGAGUGGGUCAGUAAACAACCAGAUAUGACCAAAGUUAACUUGAAACAGUAAUAGCUACACCAGUUUCAAAAUAUAUACCGAUCUGAUGUGGGGCAACCAGUAAACCGGAAAAUCCACAGUGAGAAGUAACUUUUCUAGGUAAUAUUCAUGUCUACAACAAAGAAAGCAACACUUUGAAGCUAAAGGAGUUAAAUGGGUCAAAAAGCCAAAACCCCAAUCCCCUACAAAUAUGGCUGCGAUUUUCUACUUCAAGAAUCAGGUAGAUAAUGAGAAGGAGAAGGGUAGAGGCAAGGUUUUUGGGGAGAGGACGCCACUAAAAGUUCUAAAAGAUUCCCCUGUGAGACUUUUCUCUUCUUUCUCUCCAGAGAUGUUCUCUCAUCAUCUUUCACAUCAAAAGGCAAUCAGAGGUAAACUACGACUCUUAGGUUUGAUCUGAAACCUUUGAUUCCAAGGUACUAUCUCUGUCAUAAGCAUAACUUGUUCCAUCCUUUAGCCUGAGACCUAAAGGCAAUGGGAUAAAAAUGGUCUUGGGAAAUGGAAUUUGAAGCUAAACCCUAAGAUAAAACACUCAACAAACAAAAAACCCAAUAUAGAAAGAGAAGGCCCCAGAGAUGCACUUAAUAAAUAGCAGGAGAACUAAAACCCAAGAGGGAAAUGUUGGGAUAUGGUUCCAGAGACAUCUGGUGGAUCCUAAAGUUGAGGUUUGCUGCUUUCUAUCCUAUUCCCAAAAGCUUUUGCUAGUCAAGCCAUAAGUGAAUCCUCCCAACGUUUCCCACCUGUGGUUUGUCCUUCACUCAAGCUGUGUCUCCAACUUCUCCAGCAUCACGGAUUGCCUCCUCUCCACAUUCUGGAUAUUAUCCUACCUAUGUCUGCAGCUUCAUAAGCAGGGGCCAGGACCUGUUCCAGCACCCACUUCUGCACAUAUAUUUCUGGCCUCAGGAACUACUGGCAAAGCUUCCCAAGGUUUCUGACAGCUCUGUGAAGUCCAGGUAGCCAUAUCCACAUCAUAACAAUGUGAAGCCUUCUUCCUUUACCCUCAGUCACUAUUAGAGAUGUUUCCUACAACACGACUGCCAUUCUGGAAUGAGAGAGCUCAGGAGAAGAUCCACUCCAGCUUGGGGUUCACAGUGAUUUUUCCGAAGUAUUUCCUUGUAGGUGGUCUUCUUCCUGAGGCAUACAAUAACAAUGUUAACAGAAACUAAAUUUUGUUUAGCUCUUUAGCCAGGAGCUCACUUAUCUGAACAUGGCACUGAAGGAAAAUGGAACUCUGUGUCAGCAAGCUAAAUUAAGAAAGCAAGAGUGACUGCAAAUUAUUAGCCGCAUCUGCUAGCCUUUGACUCUCCGAAAGUUUAUAUUAAUAAAACUUUAAAGAUCA